UGCACAUCCAAGCCAUUUAAAUCAACACCUGUGACUCACCAUAGGCCUUCAUGCUUAUGUAUCAUAUAUAUACUCAAAUCAUAGAAUGUAUGUUUUGCCUUUGAAAAAGCAAUCAAAUACAACUUUCAACAACAGAUCUCUUGGCUCUUGCAUCAAUGAAGAACACAAUGAAAUGCAAUAAGUAAUGUGAAUUGCAGAUUUUCAGUGAAUCAUCAAAUCUUUGAAUGCACCUUGCACUCCUUGGUAUUCUGAGGAGCAUGCCUGUUUGAGUGUCAUUAAAUCCUCAACCCUGUCUGUUGGUCAGGGCUUGGACUUUGGAGUGUGCUGGCGAAGGUCAGCUCCUCUUUAAAUGCAUCAGCAGAGAAAAACAAACCUUUUUCCCCCUUCAGCGUGAUAACUGUGUUGCGCUGUGGUUGCGAAAGGAUCUGCUCAUAAUCAUCCUUGGACAAACACUGAAUCUGUUUUGACCUCAGAUCAGGUAGGACUACCUGCUGAACUUAA
This 501-nucleotide ribosomal RNA is filed under the name uncultured fungus. RNAcentral describes it as "eukaryotic LSU rRNA". The stretch from base 121 to 275 matches the Rfam family "5.8S ribosomal RNA". Lineage: Eukaryota; Fungi. The record is from RNAcentral.